Molecule: long non-coding RNA, 630 nt
Organism: Daphnia magna
Lineage: Eukaryota; Metazoa; Arthropoda; Branchiopoda; Diplostraca; Daphniidae
Exons: 3
Source: RefSeq, a predicted model, not a curated record
UCGACUUCAUAUUCUGCCUGAUCGCACUUUCACGACACGUUAUGCCUCCUGCUGCCACGUCUAUUUUUAUAUAGGACAAAUUACAGGCGUAUUUCGAGCUUGCCAGACCGAAAAGUAAUUGCUUAUACGUCCAAGUUGAACGCAGUACAAACAUAUGUUUAGUUGGCUGUCUAAACAGUUACAGAAAUGAGGGUCCCUAACAGGUAUGUGAGCUGGAUAAAGGUAUGGGUGGGCUGAAAAUAAUGCAAACAUCAGACUCGUGCAGUUAUUGUAGUUCUCAGCAACCCCGGUAUAUACCUGAUGGCAAAUGCAUUUUGAUGUCACUAUAUAAUACGAAUGCGUUUUGUGCCGACUAAUAUCAGUUGGAUCCAGUCUGGAUCUUUGGUUAGUCAAGUCUUAAAACUAAAGUCCUGACAUCUAGAAAGAAAAGAGAAAAUAGAAUGGUGAAGGCCUACUUCGCCAUUUUAGCCAUGGCAGUGGCCUGUUGCGCUGCCAAUAGAGGCGAAUUCUUUGCGAAAUUUGGAAGAUCGUCAGGCGGUAUGGAAAUUAAGAAAGAAACGAUUCAGGGCCUUAGCGCCAUCGGUGAAGCAACCAGUCGCAGUAGCAGUUGCGCAAUCUCUUCUGUGCCCU